Molecule: ribosomal RNA, 468 nt
Filed under: uncultured bacterium
Lineage: Bacteria
Description: partial 16S ribosomal RNA
Rfam family: Bacterial small subunit ribosomal RNA
Source: RNAcentral
GACGAACGCUGGCGGCGUGCUUAACACAUGCAAGUCGAACGGAAAGGCCCUGCUUUUGCGGGGUGCUCGAGUGGCGAACGGGUGAGUAACACGUGAGUAACCUGCCCUUGACUUUGGGAUAACUUCAGGAAACUGGGGCUAAUACCGGAUAGGAGCUCCUGCUGCAUGGUGGGGGUUGGAAAGUUUCGGCGGUUGGGGAUGGACUCGCGGCUUAUCAGCUUGUUGGUGGGGUAGUGGCUUACCAAGGCUUUGACGGGUAGCCGGCCUGAGAGGGUAACCGGCCACAUUGGGACUGAGAUACGGCCCAGACUCCUACGGGAGGCAGCAGUGGGGAAUAUUGCACAAUGGGCGGAAGCCUGAUGCAGCAACGCCGCGUGCGGGAUGACGGCCUUCGGGUUGUAAACCGCUUUCGCCUGUGACGAAGCGUGAGUGACGGUAAUGGGUAAAGAAGCACCGGCUAACUACGUG